This 462-nucleotide ribosomal RNA is filed under the name uncultured bacterium. RNAcentral describes it as "partial 16S ribosomal RNA". It matches the Rfam family "Bacterial small subunit ribosomal RNA", at positions 28 to 507 of the family's 1533-position model. The record is from RNAcentral.
GACGAACGCUGGCGGCGUGCUUAACACAUGCAAGUCGAGCGGAAAGGCCCUUCGGGGUACUCGAGCGGCGAACGGGUGAGUAACACGUGAGUAACCUGCCCCAGACUUUGGGAUAACCCUCGGAAACGGGGGCUAAUACCGGAUACGACACAGCUUCGCAUGGGGUCUGUGUGGAAAGUUUUUCGGUUUGGGAUGGGCUCGCGGCCUAUCAGCUUGUUGGUGGGGUGAUGGCCUACCAAGGCGACGACGGGUAGCCGGCCUGAGAGGGCGACCGGCCACACUGGGACUGAGACACGGCCCAGACUCCUACGGGAGGCAGCAGUGGGGGAUAUUGCACAAUGGGCGGAAGCCUGAUGCAGCGACGCCGCGUGAGGGAUGACGGCCUUCGGGUUGUAAACCUCUUUCAGCAGGGACGAAGCGUAAGUGACGGUACCUGCAGAAGAAGCGCCGGCCAACUACGUG